CCCCAGUGCGUUACUUACCUCGACUCUUAGCUUGUCGGGGACGGUAACCGGGACUCGGGGUGCCUGCUCCUGCUCCUGUCGCCUUUGCCACCAAAUCCACAGUCAUCAUGCGUGAGUGUAUCUCCAUCCACGUUGGCCAGGCUGGUGUCCAGAUUGGCAAUGCCUGCUGGGAGCUCUACUGCCUGGAACACGGCAUCCAGCCUGAUGGCCAGAUGCCAAGUGACAAGACCAUUGGGGGAGGAGAUGACUCCUUCAACACCUUCUUCAGUGAGACAGGCGCUGGCAAGCACGUGCCCAGGGCAGUGUUUGUAGACCUGGAACCCACAGUCAUUGAUGAAGUUCGAACUGGCACCUACCGUCAACUUUUCCACCCUGAGCAGCUCAUCACAGGCAAGGAAGAUGCUGCCAAUAACUAUGCCCGUGGGCACUACACCAUUGGCAAGGAGAUCAUUGACCUCGUCUUGGACCGGAUCAGAAAACUGGCUGACCAGUGCACAGGUCUUCAGGGCUUCCUGGUCUUCCACAGCUUUGGUGGGGGCACUGGCUCUGGCUUCACCUCCCUGCUGAUGGAGCGUCUCUCUGUGGACUAUGGCAAGAAGUCCAAGCUGGAGUUCUCCAUUUACCCCGCCCCCCAGGUGUCCACAGCUGUAGUUGAGCCCUACAACUCUAUCCUCACCACCCACACCACCCUGGAGCACUCUGAUUGUGCCUUCAUGGUGGACAAUGAGGCCAUCUAUGACAUCUGUCGUAGAAACCUCGAUAUUGAGCGCCCAACUUACACUAACCUGAACCGCCUUAUUAGCCAGAUUGUGUCUUCCAUCACAGCUUCCCUGAGGUUUGAUGGGGCCCUGAAUGUUGACCUGACAGAAUUCCAGACCAAUCUGGUGCCCUAUCCCCGCAUCCACUUCCCCCUGGCCACAUAUGCCCCUGUCAUCUCUGCUGAGAAAGCCUGUAGCAGAGAUCACCAAUGCUUGCUUUGAGCCAGCCAACCAGAUGGUGAAAUGUGACCCUCGCCAUGGUAAAUACAUGGCCUGCUGCCUGUUGUACCGUGGUGAUGUGGUUCCCAAAGAUGUUAAUGCUGCCAUUGCCACCAUCAAGACCAAGCGCAGCAUCCAGUUUGUGGAUUGGUGUCCCACUGGUUUCAAGGUUGGCAUCAAUUACCAGCCUCCCACUGUGGUUCCUGGUGGAGACCUGGCCAAGGUGCAGCGCGCUGUGUGCAUGCUGAGCAACACCACAGCCAUUGCUGAGGCCUGGGCUCGCCUGGACCACAAGUUUGACCUGAUGUAUGCCAAGCGUGCCUUUGUCCACUGGUAUGUGGGUGAGGGGAUGGAGGAAGGAGAGUUUUCUGAGGCCCGUGAGGACAUGGCUGCCCUAGAGAAGGAUUAUGAGGAGGUUGGUAUGGAUUCUGUUGAAGGAGAGGGUGAGGAAGAAGGAGAGGAGUACUAAUCACUCAUUCCUUUGGCCCUGCAGCAUGUCAUGCUCCCAGAACUUCAGCUUCACCAUUAGCUGGCAGUCACUAAAAUGUUUCUGACUAGAUUCUGUUCAACUGUGAUCAUGUCUGUCUUUUUCCAUGUGUGUAAGGUUUUAAUCCAUUAUGUCUCAAAAGUAAAGGCUUUAAG
This is an RNA transcript of Dipodomys ordii (Ord's kangaroo rat), 1619 nucleotides long. It is a transcript of the gene named tubulin alpha-1B chain-like, with no coding region annotated. The record is from RefSeq and is a predicted model, not a curated record. The transcript is spliced from 4 exons. Lineage: Eukaryota; Metazoa; Chordata; Mammalia; Rodentia; Heteromyidae.